GGGGGAAGGAAACCACGUAGAAAACGCAAACUGCAUUUCAGCAAGCGUGUGACACGUGCGCGGUCUGAAACCGGAACACUCGAGAUCAUCCACCCCUUCACUUCUCUGAGAGAGAGAGACAGAGCGCUAGCAGGGGAAGGUCAGAGAGACGGAGACAGAAUCUGAAGCAGACUCUAGGCUGUGAGCUUUCAGCACAGAGCCCGACGUGGGGCCUGAACUCUUGAGCAGUGAGGUCAUGACCUGAGCUGAAGAAAGACACUCAACCUACUGAGCCACUCAGGUGACUUCUCCGCAUGGGCUUGUUUGGAUUUCUUCCCAGCAUGAUGGUCUCCAAGCAAUUGGAGAGCUUACAUGGUGGCUCAGAGAUUUUGUGGAAGUGCUCCAGUGCUAAGCUGCGUUGUCUUUUAUGAUUCAGCUUUAGAAAUCAUAGUUACCUUUGCUGCAUUUUAUUGGUUGCCAGAGAGUCAUAAAACUGCCCAGAAUCGAGGAGAAGGAAAUAGGUCCCACCUCUUGAUGUGAAAAUAGCAAGAUUUGAGAAGAACAUGUAGAAUGGAAGAGAUUGCUGCACUACCUUUGGAAAAUACAAUCGGCCACCAAAUGGGCAGUCGUCAUUUGCAUCAUUCUAAAAGGCAGACAUUUUAUUAUUUUUUAAAGUAAUCUCUACCCCCAACAUGGGUUCAAACUCAUGACCCCGAGUCAAGAGUCACAUGCUCUACCCACUAAGCCAGCAAGACACCCCUGAAAGGCAGAAAUUUUAGUUACCACAGUUUAGUUAAA
Molecule: long non-coding RNA, 777 nt
Organism: Neofelis nebulosa (Clouded leopard)
Lineage: Eukaryota; Metazoa; Chordata; Mammalia; Carnivora; Felidae
Exons: 3
Source: RefSeq, a predicted model, not a curated record